CGUAGGUGGCAAGCGUUGUCCGGAUUUAUUGGGUUUAAAGGGUGCGUAGGUGGCCCUGUAAGUCAGUGGUGAAAUAUCUCAGCUUAACUGAGAGGGUGCCAUUGAUACUGCGGGGCUUGAGUACAGAUGAGGUAGGCGGAAUUGACGGUGUAGCGGUGAAAUGCAUAGAUAUCGUCAAGAACACCGAUAGCGAAGGCAGCUUACCAAGCUGUAGCUGACACUGAGGCACGAAAGUGUGGGGAUCAAACAGGAUUAGAUACCCUGGUAGUCCACACUGUAAACGUUGAUGACUCGAUGUUGGCGAUACACAGCCAGCGUCCAAGAGCAAUCGUUAAGUCAUCCACCAGGGGAGUACGCCGGCAACGGUG
Molecule: ribosomal RNA, 368 nt
Filed under: uncultured organism
Description: bacterial SSU rRNA
Rfam family: Bacterial small subunit ribosomal RNA
Source: RNAcentral